This 881-nucleotide ribosomal RNA is filed under the name Panagrolaimus trilabiatus. Its description in RNAcentral is "SSU rRNA". It matches the Rfam family "Eukaryotic small subunit ribosomal RNA", at positions 56 to 944 of the family's 1831-position model. The record is from RNAcentral. Lineage: Eukaryota; Metazoa; Nematoda; Chromadorea; Rhabditida; Panagrolaimidae.
GGCUUUGGCGUCAUGUGUAUUGACACGAAACCGCGUAUGGCUCAUUAUAACAGCUAAAAUUUACUUGAUUUUGACUUUUAUCCUACAUGGAUAACUGUGGUAAUUCUGGAGCUAAUACAUGCAUAAAAGAUAAAACAUUUUUCUGUUUUAUUGCGUAUAUUAGUAUUAAAACCAAGCAUUCUUCGGAAUGUUUUGUGUUGAAACUGAAUAUAUCAUGCUGAUCGUAUGGUCUUGUACCGACGACAUGUCAUUCAAGUGUCUGAUCUAUCAACUUUCUAUAUAAGUAUAUAGUACUUAUAUGGUUUUGACGGAUAACGGGGUAUUAGGGUACGACUCCGGAGAAAAUGCCUGAGAAACGGCGUUUACAUCCAAGGAAGGCAGCAGGCGCGAAAAUUACCCACUCUCAGUACGAGGAGGUAGUGACGAGAAAUGACAAGAUCUAUUCCUUCGGGGAUGGAUCAUUGGAAUGGUUUGAUUUUAAAAUCAUUAAAGAGUAUCAAUGAGAGGGCAAGUCUGGUGCCAGCAGCCGCGGUAAUUCCAGCUCUCAUACUGCAUUGAAUUGUUGUUGCGGUUAAAAAGCUCGUAGUUGGAUCUGUACAUGAUAGGUUAGUUCAUCCUUUGGAUUGUAACUAAUACUAAAUGUUUUUUAUUAGAUUUUUUAUCUCUGUUACGAGUUAAAUGUCUAAUGAGUUUACUUUGAAUAAAUCAGAGUGCUCAAAACAGGCGUAAGCUUGUAUGGUUUUGCAUGGAAUAAUAGAACAUGACUAUGGUUCAUGUUUUAUUGGUUUUACUUACCAUAGUAAUGAUUAAAAGGAACAAACGGGGGCAUCCGUAUCGCAGGGCGAGAGGUGAAAUGCGUGAUCUGCUCAUGCCGCUUCCCG